RNAcentral lists this ribosomal RNA (253 nucleotides) under uncultured bacterium. RNAcentral's name for it is "partial 16S ribosomal RNA". It matches the Rfam family "Bacterial small subunit ribosomal RNA", at positions 524 to 776 of the family's 1533-position model. The record is from RNAcentral.
UACGAAGGGGGCUAGCGUUGUUCGGAAUCACUGGGCGUGAAGCGCACGCAGGCGGAUCGAUAAGUCGGGGGUGAAAGCCCGGGGCUCAACCUCGGAAUUGCCUUCGAUACUGUCGGUCUCGAGUCCGGGAGAGGUGAGUGGAAUUCCUAGUGUAGAGGUGAAAUUCGUAGAUAUUAGGAAGAACACCAGUGGCGAAGGCGGCUCUCUGGCCCGGUACUGACGCUCAGGUGCGAAAGCUUGGGGAUCAAACAGU